RNAcentral lists this ribosomal RNA (254 nucleotides) under uncultured bacterium. RNAcentral's name for it is "partial 16S ribosomal RNA". It matches the Rfam family "Bacterial small subunit ribosomal RNA", at positions 524 to 776 of the family's 1533-position model. The record is from RNAcentral.
UACAGAGGUCUCAAGCGUUGUUCGGAUUCAUUGGGCGUAAAGGGUGCGUAGGCGGCGCGGUAAGUCGGGUGUGAAAUCUCGGAGCUUAACUCCGAAACUGCAUUCGAUACUGCCGUGCUUUGAGGACUGGAGAGGAGACUGGAAUUUACGGUGUAGCGGUGAAAUGCGUAGAUAUCGUAAGGAAGACCAGUGGCGAAGGCAGGUCUCUGGGACGGUACUGACGCUGAGACGCGAAAGCGUGGGGAGCGAACAGG